Long non-coding RNA from Hemicordylus capensis (graceful crag lizard), 605 nucleotides. RefSeq lists it as uncharacterized. The record is from RefSeq and is a predicted model, not a curated record. The transcript has 3 exons. Lineage: Eukaryota; Metazoa; Chordata; Lepidosauria; Squamata; Cordylidae.
UCCUGCUACCUUCCUGGGCUGAUACCAAGCCAGAGUUGAGCAGAUACCUUCUUUUCCUCAUAUCCAUCCAUGCUAUAUACCUUUGGUUCAUAUUUUUAUUUUUCUCUGCAGACAGAACUCCACGAAAGGCUUUUGCCACAGGGAGAAACAGGUCUACCACCUCUUUGACCUUGGAGAGCAAUGUCAACCACCCACAGAACCUCACCUUGUUACUCUAUAAUGCCAGGUCGGUUCAAAAUAAAUCUGAGGUAAUACAUGACUUAAUCAUGGAUGAAGGAGCUAACUUGACAGCCCCAUGGUAUCCGGAUGAACUAUGGGAUCUAAAGUGGCGAGAUAGAUGACUAGAGUGCAAGAGGAGGAAGACUCAGUGCAAGUCGGAUCAAGCACAACACAAAGCACAUUUGAAGACUUAGGCUGUAGCAGUGUGGGAGGCAAAAAAGCAGUUCUUUUCUGCCUGCAUUGCUAUUGCAAUUUCAUGUCCAGCUGAGUUAUCUAGGGAUGUGAGGGGGCUAGUGUGUACCACCUUCCCCUUGAAUUUAAACUUGGAACCAUCAGUUUCUCACUGUGACAUUGUUAACGACUUUUUGUGUGGAUAAAAUAUCUCA